This 118-nucleotide ribosomal RNA is filed under the name Periophthalmus magnuspinnatus. The record is from RNAcentral. Lineage: Eukaryota; Metazoa; Chordata; Actinopteri; Gobiiformes; Gobiidae.
GUUUGUGGCCAAAUCUUUUUGUCAAAGCCUGAUUUCAUCAGAUCUUAGAAGCUAUGCAAGGCCUGGCCUGGUCAGUGCUCGGAUGGGAGACUGCUGGAAAUUCCAGAUGCCACAGUGA